RNAcentral lists this non-coding RNA (28 nucleotides) under Cricetulus griseus (Chinese hamster). Lineage: Eukaryota; Metazoa; Chordata; Mammalia; Rodentia; Cricetidae. The record is from RNAcentral.
AGCUGUGACACUUAGUAUUCAGUUGGUU